GCCAAAGCAAAACAUCAGUAAAAAAACAGAGUCUGCUAGAAAUUCUAGUGGAUGCAUAUUCUGUGAAAGUGAAGUAAGGCUGCUACGAUUUCUCCCUGCUGCGAUUUUAGCGAUUUUUGCAAUUUGGAAUUGGAACCUACUUUGCAAUCGCAGAUCGAUAAAGUUGAAUUGGGGCAAAUACCGAUUUGGUACAUCUGAGUUAUCUGCCAGCUCCACUGCUUAGAAUGUUACCAAAUGUUACAAUUUUCUUUGUUCUUUGAUGGGUUGGUCCCAAUUUCUAAUAUUAUCAUGUUCUUGAUUUUGAUUUCUAAUACAUAUCUAG
This 322-nucleotide long non-coding RNA is filed under the name Panax ginseng (ginseng). Its description in RNAcentral is "long non-coding RNA (PGIN_LNC004514)". Lineage: Eukaryota; Viridiplantae; Streptophyta; Magnoliopsida; Apiales; Araliaceae. The record is from RNAcentral.